AGAAUUAAGACACUGAGUGGGAAGAGAGAUACAAAUAUGUCCAUAGAAAUAUGGAAGGUUUUAAGCCAGAAAAUCCUUAAAUGAAGGUCUGUAGCAGUAUCUCUCCAGAUAUUUAAAAAUACAAUGAUCACCAAAAUAUGCUAUAAAUGUUUAAAAUGGACUCCUAUCGAAAGUUCAGAGGUUAAAGAUGAUGUUGUUUAUGGUACUCCUAGAAAUUGAUUCUUCUUUAUUUUUUCUUUUCGUUGAGUUUAAUUGCCACUAGAAUUAUUUUCAAGUUAAGAAGAUAAGAGGAUUGACUUUUUAAACUUCAAAAUGAACUUCCCUGCUGUGACUGACUAUAUUCCCCAGUAUGGAGAAUUAUGAGGAACCUGUUGAACAGAAAAGUCUCUGACCAUAAUCAAGGUCACACAGUCAGAAGGCAUCCCAGCAGACACUCCACACUAGCCAAUGUGGAUUCAGAGACUGCACCCUUGAUUACUGUGUUGUUUGAUGAUACUAGUGCACCUUCAUGAAUCAGAACUUUCCAUAUAUGGAGGUUAUUCAGCAUGUCCUUUGUGAGUAAUGGUUACAGGUAUAAGGUGCAUACAGGUAGAUGUGAAGAAGGCAGUGGAGGAUAACAGGAAAAUGGAAGAGAAUGAGGAAAUGUAUGGUCCUGUGGAAGAAACACUGGAAUUAAGCCGGCAUCAAUUGCGGGCAAGGCUGAAUCCAGGUUUUGGGGGCCUGAAGCUUAAUCAAUGUGGAGGACCUCUUUGAGGAAAAGCAUGCAAAAUUACAAAUACAAAAUUAGUUUAAAAACAUCUGAGGAAGAUAGAAAACAUUUUAUCUUUCAAGAUAAAAAAAGAAAAGCUCUUUGCCAACAGAAAACAUAAUAUGCGGACUCUAUGGCUAUUGUUUCUGAAAAAUAUAAGAGAUGAUUACAUCACAUUGUGUAUUCUGUAGGAAAAACACUGUAAUGCUUAUAUGGCUAAUAAUGGAAUGAUCUAAGUCAAUAUAUUGUGCAGUUUUGAGUGACAGAAGAA
Molecule: long non-coding RNA, 1019 nt
Filed under: Homo sapiens (human)
Lineage: Eukaryota; Metazoa; Chordata; Mammalia; Primates; Hominidae
Description: novel transcript
Source: RNAcentral